CAGGCUCCCUGAGCCUCUGGCUCCUGUAAGCCAGAUCUCCAGGCCCAGGCAGGGUCUGAGGGCUGUGGGGUGCAGGACCAGCCCUCCCCUCAGGCUUGUUUCUGAGCUGCCCCACAGUGUGGUGUCGGGUCACAGUACCUGACACACCAGCCCCUGGAAAACAGAGAAGAUGCUGACUUCUUAAUGGGACUCAGUGGAAACUUGCAGUGUGACCCCUCCGUCUUUCCAAGUUGCAUCCCAUGUCAGAGGCCAGCACUUAGCCCACCGCAGCUGCCCGUGCCUUGGCCCGCUCCUGGGAGCCAUUCUGGAAGGUGGUUCCUGAGUCGUGGGCAAAGAACGCCCAGUGCAGAGUGACGCCCUUCCCCACUGCUGUGUGACCGGGCCUGGCCCAGAGCAGAGCUGCCGUGUGAGCCUGGCAUCACCUCACCACGCUGGCCCAGCGGGCAAGGACCUUGCACUUUCGAGGCAGGCGGUGGAACCACUGAGCUACAUUCCCAGCUCAGGAAUUUGUCUUCCUUUCUGAGGCGUCUCCACACUGAUCUCUGCAGUGUUGUACCUGCGUACUCCCCCACCCGUGGGGAAGGCCCCUCGCCAGCGCCUUGUUACUGCUGGGUUUCUUGAAGAUGGCCCUGCCCUCUGGGGAUGGUGGGACUGCGGUGCUGCCUUUAAUUUAAUCCCUUAUUCUCAGCGUUGCUGUUUACUCCCUUCAAGUCCUGAACUCACACAGGUAGUUUCAAAGUUGCCAACCCUUUGUGCCAUGAAAAAGAAAACCUACUGGAGUUGAAGCUCAGCACUUUUCCUUUUGGGGAGAGGUGGGCAGGCAGGGAGAGGCGGGGCUGAGUGAGUCUGUGGCACAGAUGCCCACACCGCCCACCGGGCCUCCGCUCUUCGGCCCUGCCACGGGAAGCCCUGCGUCUGCGCUUUCCAGCCCUCCCUGCUGUCGGGGCUCAGCCAGGGAGGCUGUUGGCAGCCCCUUUAUCAGGAGGUGGGAAUGCCUGGGGCCCAGGCAAUGGGACAUCAAAUGUCCUUGACGGAGAAAGGGUAAUUUCAUCCAGGUUCCUCAAACACUCGGAAUGGAGCCAGCGUGUGGCACGCUGCAGUUGGCUUCUGGGUGCUCACAUCCAAGGCUGCGGAGCUGGUGUGGCAAGGAGACACCUACACGCCACGUCCACCACAGCUGAGGAAAAACAGUGCACCCAGGCAUGCCCCACCAAUGAGCGUGUGAAGGGACAGUGGACGCGCAUGGCAGCAUGCCGUGAGCCUCACAGAAGAGGGAAACAUGUCCUUUCUGACACACAGGUGAAUCUGGGCGAUGUUAAGUAAGACACACCAAGCAACAACAACAAUACCUGUGUGUGUGCGGUGCUGGGGACUGGACCCAGGACCUUCACACUGAGCUACAUCCCCACCUUUUCAUUUUCUGUUUUGAGACAGGGUCUCGCUAACUUGCUCAGUUGCCCAAGCUGGGCUCAAACUUGCCAUCCUCCUGCCUCUGCCUCCCAGUGCUGGGAUGACAGGCGUGCACCACCACACUUAGUUCCUGCUCUAACUUUUCAACAAAAUCCAUUACACUGUAGGAAAAGGUAAAAGAAAACUACGCGAUGGCUUUCUGGAUCUUUGUGUUCUAAACGCUGCCCUAACUUCUUGGAGAAGGCUUGUCGGUCAGUCGGGACUCAAGAAAGCCCUGGGCCUCCCAGGAGGCGCCGCCCCUCCUCGGCCCCAUGCACUGGCCUUGGGGAACCCUUCGGGUUGCCCAGACGCGAGGAUGGGGCUCCUCCUCCUCCACAGGCCCAGCACUGCCUCUGCUGAGGGUAGAUUUUGUUGGAUUCAUAUGCUUGUAGAAAGCAUAGAGAUACAAGUUUAGAAGGAGAAGCAGUCACAGUGGGAACAAGGAGAAGCGAGGAGAGAGGCCGCUUCCCUUGCUGGAGCCGGAGCUCGAGGGCCUUGGUUCCCAGCGCCUCUCCCGAGAGUUACACCUGCAUCAGCUGCUCCUAGGCUCAGACCCUGCCUUGGCCGUGGACCCUCCCUGCCCUUGCACUCUCCCCUCUCUCCGUGAGAUUUGUGACGGGGCCUCAGGCUGACGGCCAAGUUAGCAAGUAUUAAGAGGUACGUGCGCAUGUCAGUGCAUUCACAUGCUGAGAGAAUAAUAAAAUACAGGGCCGGGAUUUAGCUCAGUGGUCAUGCCUGCCUUGCAAGCACAAGGUCCCCAGUUCGAUCCCCGGUACCCAAAGAAACCAACAACAUACCUGCAUUUAUACACAGGUGCCUGAGCAACCAGGCACAAAUGUACAGCUGCCCCUGAAGUGUGUUUCCCUGCAAUUCAGCCUGUCCACUGCGGCCCCUCUGCACCUGGCUGGAGCCCAGAGGAGGACCUGGGCCUGCGACACCCUGCUCAUGCUCCGCCUGUCCUGCUCCCUCCAGGUCAGGGGUUUGCCGAGUCCUUCCCUUCCCUGCCCUGACCCCUGCCCUGACAAAGCCCUCCCGACGGAUGCAGGUGCCGGUAGAUAAAGGACAGGGACUGACGAUGUCUUACUGCAUCUGUGCACAUUUUAGUCAGUUCACCAAGCACCUCCCAGGCCGCAGGGCCCAGCGGGGCUGCGCUCCUGCCUGGCCCUACUGGUCCCAGUCCUUGACGAUGCUCAGGACGCCCCGCUCAGGGGCGGGGCCUGCCAGCCUGGCCAGCACGUCCAGCCCUCCGUGCUCCUUCUCCCUGGAGGACACAAAGUGGGCAGCUCCUGCACCCGGACCCCGGGGCGCCCGCCCGUGUCCCCGUCCCUGUCCCCGUGGCCUGCGCAGCUCCCGGAUCUGUGCGGGCCAGGCCGAUUGGGACCGCAGGGCAGGAGCCCGGGCACCGCUUACCGGAGGACAACGUUGCAUGCCUGCGCGGUGGCCGCUGACCAAGGCCUGCUGGCCCCGCUCCCCAACAUCGUUCCCGCUCACGUCCAGGUGCCUCAGCUCCAGGUUGGUGCCCGGCACAGCCGGCCAGGGCAAGGCAGCCAGCAGAGGACAUGCAGGUGGCAGCUGGGGCACGCCAGGGCCUCGCACAGAGUGGCGGCGCCGUCAUCCCCGAGGGUCAUUGAGGCUGAGGUCCAGGCUUUGGAGGCGCGCUGCUCUCUCGAGAGCUGAGGCCACGUCCUGACAGCAAGCCGAGUGAGACCGAGGACUCAUGUGCUGACUCUGUCUUCCACCACUUGAGGAACAGCCAAGAACGUCUUCCUGAAGUGCCAGCACCUUCUCCUGCUUCUCCGGGGAAAGCUCAAAGUGUCAGUGCUUCCUCAGGUAUUUUGUGCCUCUUUCAGCAUUUCAGAAGCAUUUGCAGAAAUUCCCAAGCGUCACGCACUGCAUCAGGCCUGGGGGCCCCAGAGGCACAGCCCCUGCCCUGGGGAGCUCGGGCCCAGCAAGAACCAAACACAAAGGUGAACAGGCCCGGUGUGUCCGUCUGGCAGGAGGCUCCAAGGUCUCCCUGCCCCUUCCCGCUCAGGCGCCUGCAGCCUCCCAGGACCCGGUGACCAGGGACGGGGUGGGCCCAGGAGGGGUGGAUUUCAGACACGAGGGCACUGUUUACGGGGCUGGAUUGCCUCGGCCCCCGCCUCUGUGGGGUGUGGCUCCCUCUCACGGGAUGACCAGGGACCCCGCUCUGGUCCCCACAGCAGGCAUGGGCGCGUGACCCAGAGGCCCACACCUGCAGACUCCGGCGACUUUUCCUCUCGGAGACACAUCGUCAUCGGCCUCACACUUGCCAUCCUCCUGCCUCAGCCUCCCAGAGUGCUGGGGUCACAGGCGUGCACCACCAUGCCUGGCUCCGUAUUUAAUUCUGUGCUGAACUUCCUCCCGUGACAGCCAAGUGAGACCUCCCCAGGAGGAAGGCAGCGUGACCUGGACACUGACCCUGAGCCCCCGCCCGGCUCUUGUGAUGAGCAGAUGUCGCCGUCCUGCGCAUCUGCAGGGCCCUGGGUGCCUGGGCCCCGCUAACCUGCCUCUUCAGUGGAAAUAACACCCUUUUCCUGACUGCUGUCCCCUGGCACAAGCAUGGCUCCAAUAGGCCUCUGUGGGUCACACGUGUGCCACAGACUAGAACACGAAGCAGGUGUGCUCGGCACUGCUCCCCGCACGCCGAGCCUCAAGGGGAGGCACCUGGGGACUCACACCAGCCUCUGGAGGGGCAGCGCCGCGCUUGCCAGGCUCUCCCAGAUGUGCCUCGCCCCUUCAUCCUUCAGGGCAUUGCCCGCCAGGCUCAGGUGCGUCAGCGUCCGGCUGCUCCCCAGGGAGACGGCCACGCCCGGGCAGGCCAGCUUCAUGAGCCCGCAGCCUCCAGCCUGGGGACAGAGACUCGAGGUGAGCUGCGGACAGGUGGCCGGGUGUGGGGAUGCACGCCUGUGACCCCAGCCCUCUGGGAGGCUGAGGCAGGGGGGAUUGUAAGUUCAAGCCCAGCCUGGGCAAUUUAGCGUCUGGGGGAGAACCUGUCUCAAAAUAAACAAAAAAAGGGCUGAUUGUGUCACACAGCGUGAAGGCCUGCCAGCAGUUCCCUAUACCAAAAAUAUCCCAGCCAACCAAAGGAACAAACAGCCCCGCCCGCCCCUGUGAGACAGGAAAGGGAUGGCCCAGGAGGAGGAGAGGCGCAGAAGCCUGGCCUGCAGUUUAGAGCUAAGGCGGAGGCUGAGGUUGUGGAAAGCGUUCGUCAGGGAUCAGCGUGACGCAAUGAAAACGGGAUCCCGUUCCCACGCCACCGAGUGGAAAAGCGGUCAGAAAGCGGGCUGCGAAGGCUCAGAGGAGCUGUCAGACGCGCUAUGGGUGGACGGAGCCCGGAGGUGCGC
Heterocephalus glaber (naked mole-rat) is the source of this 4814-nucleotide long non-coding RNA. The record is from Ensembl. NCBI's taxonomy places the organism in Eukaryota, Metazoa, Chordata, Mammalia, Rodentia, Bathyergidae.